ACGGAAGGCAGCAGUGGGGAAUAUUGCACAAUGGGGGAAACCCUGAUGCAGCGACGCCGCGUGAAGGAAGAAGUAUCUCGGUAUGUAAACUUCUAUCAGCAGGGAAGAAAUUGACGGUACCUGAUUAAGAAGCCCCGGCUAACUACGUGCCAGCAGCCGCGGUAAUACGUAGGGGGCAAGCGUUAUCCGGAUUUACUGGGUGUAAAGGGAGCGUAGACGGAAUUGCAAGUCUGAUGUGAAAGGCAUGGGCUCAACCUGUGGACUGCAUUGGAAACUGUGAUUCUUGAGUGCCGGAGGGGUAAGCGGAAUUCCUGGUGUAGCGGUGAAAUGCGUAGAUAUCAGGAGGAACACCGGUGGCGAAGGCGGCUUACUGGACGGCAACUGACGUUGAGGCUCGAAGGCGUGGGGAGCAAACAGGAUUAGAUACCCUGGUA
Molecule: ribosomal RNA, 434 nt
Filed under: uncultured Blautia sp.
Lineage: Bacteria; Bacillati; Bacillota; Clostridia; Lachnospirales; Lachnospiraceae
Description: partial 16S ribosomal RNA
Rfam family: Bacterial small subunit ribosomal RNA
Source: RNAcentral